UGCGGGGUGGAGCAGUCUGGUAGCUCGUCGGGCUCAUAACCCGAAGGUCAUCGGUUCAAAUCCGGUCCCCGCUA
Molecule: non-coding RNA, 74 nt
Organism: Halomonas campaniensis
Lineage: Bacteria; Pseudomonadati; Pseudomonadota; Gammaproteobacteria; Oceanospirillales; Halomonadaceae
Source: Rfam